Molecule: ribosomal RNA, 301 nt
Filed under: uncultured bacterium
Lineage: Bacteria
Description: partial 16S ribosomal RNA
Rfam family: Bacterial small subunit ribosomal RNA
Source: RNAcentral
CAGCAGCCACGGUAACACGAAGGGGGCUAGCGUUGCUCGGAAUCACUGGGCGUAAAGGGUGCGUAGGCGGGUCUUUAAGUCAGGGGUGAAAUCCUGGAGCUCAACUCCAGAACUGCCUUUGAUACUGAAGAUCUUGAGUUCGGGAGAGGUGAGUGGAACUGCGAGUGUAGAGGUGAAAUUCGUAGAUAUUCGCAAGAACACCAGUGGCGAAGGCGGCUCACUGGCCCGAUACUGACGCUGAGGCACGAAAGCGUGGGGAGCAAACAGGAUUAGAUACCCCUGUAGUCCCUGUCUCUUAUAC